UUAACGAGGAACAAUUGGAGGGCAAGUCUGGUGGAACUUCAGCUCCCACUGCUGACGCCAGCGAUAGUCGGGCACCUUUUGGGGUGUUAUGCCGGCUAGUCGAGUACCCACCGCACUGAUGGGGGGGUACCGGCAAGACAACCUGGGUCGGGGAAGGCUAAGGGGCUUAUGGCCCUACGCUGAUCCCGAGCAGAGCUACCGCGGGGCGACCCGCCAUGUAGCCUGUGUAGAGCGCGCAAAGGUGUCGGCCAGCUCCAGUAGUUGGCUUAAGGGACGUGCCAUUCCCGCCCGAAAGGGCGGCUGCCUGUUUCGAGCGCCCAUCACGCAAGAACUGGCAGGCCUAGAGCAGUGGCUCUAGGCGUCGACGAAAAGGCCAGCAGCCGCGGUAAUUCCAGCUCCAAUAGCGUAUAUUAAAGUUGUUGCAGUUAAAAAGCUCGUAGUUGAACCUUGGGCCUGGCUGGCCGGUCCGCCUCACCGCGUGUACUGGUCCGGCCGGGCCUUUCCUUCUGGAGAACCGCAUGCCCUUCACUGGGUGUGUCGGGGAACCAGGACUUUUACUUUGAGAAAAUUAGAGUGUUCAAAGCAGGCCUUUGCUCGAAUACGUUAGCAUGGAAUAAUAGAAUAGGACGUGCGGUCCUAUUUUGUUGGUUUCUAGAACCGCCGUAAUGAUUAAUAGGGAUAGUCGGGGGCGUCAGUAUUCAAUUGUCAGAGGUGAAAUUCUUGGAUCUAUUGAAGACUAACUACUGCGAAAGCAUUCGCCAAGGAUGUUUUCAUUAAUCAGUGAACGAAAGUUAGGGGAUCGAAGACGAUCAGAUACCGUCGUAGUCUUAACCGUAAACUAUGCCGACUAGGGAUCGGGSGRUGUUUCUAUAUUGWCUCGCUCGGCACCUUACGAGAAAUC
RNAcentral lists this ribosomal RNA (901 nucleotides) under Roussoella tuberculata. RNAcentral's name for it is "bacterial SSU rRNA". It matches the Rfam family "Eukaryotic small subunit ribosomal RNA", at positions 536 to 1110 of the family's 1831-position model. Lineage: Eukaryota; Fungi; Ascomycota; Dothideomycetes; Pleosporales; Thyridariaceae. The record is from RNAcentral.